UUAUAGUGGGGUAGAGGUUAUAGUGGGGUGAAGUUUAUAGUGGGGUGGAGGUUGUAGUGGGGUGGAGGUUAUAGUGGGGUGGAGGUUAUAGUGGGGUAGAGGUAGAGGUUAUAGUGGGGUGGAGGUUAUAGUGGGGUGGAGGUUUGUGGCUGUGAGGCUCCUCCUCCUCCUCUAUGUGGCUGUGAGGCUCCUCCUCCAUGUGGCUGAGAGGCUCCUCCUCCUCCUCUAUGUGGCUAUGAGGCUCCUCCUCCUCCUCUAUGUGGCUGUGAGGCUCCUCCUCCUCUUCUAUGUGGCUGUGAGGCUCCUCCUCGUCCUCUAUGUGGCUGUGAGGCUCCUCCUCCUCUAUGUGGCUGUGAGGCUCCUCCUCCUCUUUGUGGCUGUUAGUCUCCCAUCCUCUUUGUGGCUGUUAGUCUCCUCCUCCUCCUUUUUGUGGCUGUGAGACUCCUCCUCCUGCUCUAUGUGGCUGUGAGGCUCCUCCUCCUCUUUGUGGCUGUUAGUCUCCUCCUCCUCCUUUUUGUGGCUGUGAGGCUCCUCCUCCUCUUCUAUGUGGCUGUGAGGCUCCUCCUCCUCCUCUAUGUGGCUGUGAGGCUCCUCCUCCUCCUCUAUGUGGCUGUGAGGCUCCUCCUCCUCCUCUAUGUGGCUGUGAGGCUCCUCCUCCUCCUCUUUGUUGCUGUGAGGCUCCUCCUCCUCUUUGUGGCUGUUAGUCUCCUCCUCCUCCUUUUUGUGGCUGUGAGGCUCCUCCUCCUCUAUGUGGAUGUGAGGCUCCUCCUCCUCUUUGUGGCUGUUAGUCUCCCAUCCUCUUUGUGGCUGUUAGUCUCCUCCUCCUUUUUGUGGCUGUGAGACUCCUCCUCCUGCUCUAUGUGGCUGUGAGGCUCCUCCUCCUCUUUGUGGCUGUUAGUCUCCUCCUCCUCCUUUUUGUGGCUGUGAGGCUCCUCCUCCUCUUCUAUGUGGCUGUGAGGCUCCUCCUCCUCUUUGUGGCUGUUAGUCUCCUCCUCCUCCUUUUUGUGGCUGUGAGGCUCCUCCUCCUCUUCUAUGUGGCUGUGAGGCUCCUCCUCCUCCUCUAUGUGGCUGUGAGGCUCCUCCUCCUCCUCUAUGUGGCUGUGAGGCUCCUCCUCCUCUAUGUGGCUGUGAGGCUCCUCCUCCUCCUCUAUGUGGCUGUGAGGCUCCUCCUCCUUUUUGUGGCUGUGAGGCUCCUCCUUCUCCUCUAUGUGGCUGUGAAGCUCCUCCUCCUCUAUGUGGCUGUGAGGCUCCUCCUCCUCCUCUAUGUGGCUGAGAGGCUCCUCCUCCUCUAUGUGGCUGUGAGGCUCCUCCUCCUCUAUGUAGCUGUGAGGCUCCUCCUCCUCCUCUAUGUCGCUGUGAGGCUCCUCCUCCUCCUCUUUGUUGCUGUGAGGCUCCUCCUCCUCUUUGUGGCUGUUAGUCUCCUCCUCCUCCUUUUUGUGGCUGUUAGUCUCCU
This 1453-nucleotide long non-coding RNA is filed under the name Salmo salar (Atlantic salmon). Its description in RNAcentral is "lncRNA (ENSSSAG00000087733.1)". Lineage: Eukaryota; Metazoa; Chordata; Actinopteri; Salmoniformes; Salmonidae. The record is from RNAcentral.